This 72-nucleotide transfer RNA is filed under the name Stegodyphus mimosarum. It matches the Rfam family "tRNA". From Rfam's summary of the family: Transfer RNA (tRNA) molecules are approximately 80 nucleotides in length. Their secondary structure includes four short double-helical elements and three loops (D, anti-codon, and T loops). Further hydrogen bonds mediate the characteristic L-shaped molecular structure. tRNAs have two regions of fundamental functional importance: the anti-codon, which is responsible for specific mRNA codon recognition, and the 3' end, to which the tRNAs corresponding amino acid is attached (by aminoacyl-tRNA synthetases). tRNAs cope with the degeneracy of the genetic code in two manners: having more than one tRNA (with a specific anti-codon) for a particular amino acid; and 'wobble' base-pairing, i.e. permitting non-standard base-pairing at the 3rd anti-codon position. The record is from Rfam by way of RNAcentral. Lineage: Eukaryota; Metazoa; Arthropoda; Arachnida; Araneae; Eresidae.
GCCUUCGUGGUGUAACGGUAGCACACUCGGCUCUUAUUCGACAGGUCUAGGGUUCGAUUCCCGGCGAGGACA